GAUCAUUACUGAAGUGAGUCUUCAUUCAUUGAAGCUUCUUCCCAUUGUGCUGGCUUUGACCGUAUGUAAAGUUGGGGAUUAAACAUGGUUCAAAAUUUAUUUUGUGGCCGUCCCCAACAAUUUAUCUCAUCCUUUAUAAAUUUGAACUGAACUCAUUUUGAGAUUACUUAAAAAAAUAAUCUUAUUAUACAACUUUCAACAACGGAUCUCUUGGUUCUCGCAUCGAUGAAGAACGCAGCGAAAUGCGAUACGUAAUGUGAAUUGCAGAAUUCAGUGAAUCAUCGAAUCUUUGAACGCACAUUGCACUCUAUGGUAUUCCGUAGAGUAUGCCUGUUUCAGUAUCAUGAACACCUCACUACUAUAACUUUAUUGUUAUGAUAGUGGAUUUGGAAUGCGCUGGUGUCAGUCAGCCCUUCUAAAAUGGAGUUCUUGCACUGUUGAUUUGUUUUAACAGCAAUGUUGGCCUAAUAAGUUUCAGCAGCAAUGUUGAAAUCACUGGCUUUUUUUGCUUAGAAUCGGACAGUCUUGAUAUACAGAAUUUUUGAGGUGACUUUUGUCUCCUCUUCAAAUUUUGAUCUGAAAUCAGGUAGGAUUACCCGCUGAACUUAAGCAUAUCAAUAAGCGGAGGAAAAGAAACUAACAAGGAUUCCCUCAGUAACGGCGAGUGAAGCGGGAAGAGCUCAAAUUUAAAAUCUGGCUUACUUGUAAGACCGAGUUGUAGUCUGAAGAAACGUUUUCCAUAAGCACUGAGGCACAAGUCCCUUGGAACAGGGCAUCAUAGAGGGUGAGAAUCCCGUCCAUGGUCUCAAGUUGCUUAUUUUGUGAUACGUUUUCAAAGAGUCAGGUUGUUUGGGAAUGCAGCCUAAAAUGGGUGGUAAAUUUCAUCUAAAGCUAAAUAUUGGCGAGAGACCGAUAGCGAACAAGUACCGUGAGGGAAAGAUGAAAAGAACUUUGAAAAGAGAGUUAAACAGUACGUGAAAUUGUUGAAAGGGAACCGUUUGAAGCCAGUCUUACUUGCUCGUGAUCAGUUUGUGCCUCGGCAUGAAUGCACUCUCGGGUAUGGUAGGCCAACGGCAGUUUAGAAUGCGAGAAAAAAAUUUGGGAAAUGUGGCCUUCGGGUGUUAUAGUCCCUUAUGAAAUAUCGUGUUCUGGACUGAGGAUCGCAGUAAAAAUGUGGGCAGGUAGAUUUCUGUGGUGAAUGAUUAUUAGGACAACUUGUUGACCUAGUUUUCAUAAGCCUCACUGUUUGCCU
RNAcentral lists this ribosomal RNA (1252 nucleotides) under Umbelopsis sp. OGW5. RNAcentral's name for it is "eukaryotic LSU rRNA". The stretch from base 573 to 1252 matches the Rfam family "Eukaryotic large subunit ribosomal RNA", at positions 1 to 629 of the family's 3401-position model. Lineage: Eukaryota; Fungi; Mucoromycota; Umbelopsidomycetes; Umbelopsidales; Umbelopsidaceae. The record is from RNAcentral.